CGACCGGCGCACGGUGCGUAACGCGUAUGCAACCUACCUUUAACAGGGGAGUAACACUGAGAAAUUGGUACUAAUACCCCAUAAUAUCAUAGAAGGCAUCUUUUAUGGUUGAAAAUUCCGAUGGUUAGAGAUGGGCAUGCGUUGUAUUAGCUAGUUGGUGGGGUAACGGCUCACCAAGGCGACGAUACAUAGGGGGACUGAGAGGUUAACCCCCCCACACUGGUACUGAGACACGGACCAG
Molecule: ribosomal RNA, 241 nt
Filed under: uncultured bacterium
Lineage: Bacteria
Description: partial 16S ribosomal RNA
Rfam family: Bacterial small subunit ribosomal RNA
Source: RNAcentral